CACGUAGGGUGCGAGCGUUGUCCGGAAUUAUUGGGCGUAGAGCUCGUAGGCGGUGUGUCGCGUCGGCCGUGAAAACCUGCAGCUUAACUGUGGGCGUGCGGUCGAUACGGGCAUCACUGGAGUUCGGCAGGGGAGACUGGAAUUCCUGGUGUAGCGGUGAAAUGCGCAGAUAUCAGGAGGAACACCGGUGGCGAAGGCGGGUCUCUGGGCCGAUACUGACGCUGAGGAGCGAAAGCGUGGGGAGCGAACAGG
This 252-nucleotide ribosomal RNA is filed under the name uncultured bacterium. RNAcentral describes it as "partial 16S ribosomal RNA". It matches the Rfam family "Bacterial small subunit ribosomal RNA", at positions 524 to 776 of the family's 1533-position model. The record is from RNAcentral.